ACAUCAGCGGCAGACGGGUGAGUAACACGUAGGUAACCUACCCCAGAGACAGGGAUAACCCGAGGAGACGAGGGCUAAUACCGGAUGACCUCCGGAAGGAGGAAAGGCUCAGGCGCUCUGGGAGGGGCUUGCGGCCCAUCAGCUAGUUGGUAGGGUAAAGGCCUACCAAGGCGAAGACGGGUAGGGGGUGUGAGAGCACGGCCCCCCACAAUGGGACUGAAACACGGCCCAUACUCCUACGGGAGGCAGCAGCAGGGAAUAUUGCACAAUAGGCGAAAGCCUGAUGCAGCGACGCCGCGUGAGUGAAGAAGGCCUUCGGGUCGUAAAGCUCUUUUGUAGGGGAAGAGGAAGGACGGUACCCUAAGAAGAAGCGUCGGCUAACUACGUGCCAGCAGCCGCGGUAAGACGUAGGACGCGAGCGUUAUCCGGAAUUACUGGGCGUAAAGGGCCAGCAGGCGGCUUGGUAAGUUGUGCGUGAAAGCCUCGUGCUCAACGCGAGGAAGCCGGACAAUACUGUCAAGCUAGAGGGCAUCAGAGGGGAGUGGAAUUCCCGGAGUAGCGGUAAAAUGCGCAGAUAUCGGGAGGAACACCGAUGGCGAAGGCAGCUCCCUGGGAUGC
Molecule: ribosomal RNA, 618 nt
Filed under: uncultured organism
Description: bacterial SSU rRNA
Rfam family: Bacterial small subunit ribosomal RNA
Source: RNAcentral